Molecule: ribosomal RNA, 384 nt
Filed under: Triticum aestivum (bread wheat)
Lineage: Eukaryota; Viridiplantae; Streptophyta; Magnoliopsida; Poales; Poaceae
Description: partial small subunit ribosomal RNA
Source: RNAcentral
CUAAAUUGUGUAACCGGACCGGCUAAUUUCUUCAACAGGUCAGGAUCGAACGGUCCGGUCUCAAACGGGCCACGAGCGGGCCGAAAAGCCCGCUCGCUCCGUCCAGGCUGGUCCACCAAUGACAUUGCCCUUGUGCUUGUGGCACUCCUCUCCGUGCUCGUCACGUCCGUCCGUUCUGUGGCCAACUACGACACCUCCGCCGCCAGAUCCUACAACUCCGGCUGGCUGCCCGCCAAGGCCACCUGGUACGGAGCGCCCACCGGCGCCGGACCCAACGACAACGGCGGUGCUUGCGGCUUCAAGAACGUGAACCAGUACCCAUUCUCCUCCAUGACGUCCUGCGGCAACGAGCCUCUGUUCGACGGUGGCGCAGGCUGCGGCAGC